CGAAAGAAAGAUUAAUACCUGAUGGUAUGAUGAGAUUGCAUGAUAGCAUCAUUAAAGAUUUAUCGGUGUACGAUGGGGAUGCGUUCCAUUAGGUAGUAGGCGGGGUAACGGCCCACCUAGCCAACGAUGGAUAGGGGUUCUGAGAGGAAGGUCCCCCACAUCGGAACUGAGACACGGUCCAAACUCCUACGGGAGGCAGCAGUGAGGAAUAUUGGUCAAUGGACGAGAGUCUGAACCAGCCAAGUAGCGUGAAGGAUGAAGGUCCUACGGAUUGUAAACUUCUUUUAUAAGGGAAUAAACCCUCCCACGUGUGGGAGCUUGUAUGUACCUUAUGAAUAAGCAUCGGCUAACUCCGUGCCAGCAGCCGCGGUAAUACGGAGGAUGCGAGCGUUAUCCGGAUUUAUUGGGUUUAAAGGGAGCGUAGGUGGACUGGUAAGUCAGUUGUGAAAGUUUGCGGCUCAACCGUAAAAUUGCAGUUGAUACUGUCAGUCUUGAGUACAGUAGAGGUGGGCGGAAUUCGUGGUGUAGCGGUGAAAUGCUUAGAUAUCACGAAGAACUCCGAUUGCGGAGGCAGCUCACUGGACUGCAACUGACACUGAUGCUCGAAAGUGUGGGUAUCAAACA
This 624-nucleotide ribosomal RNA is filed under the name uncultured bacterium. Its description in RNAcentral is "bacterial SSU rRNA". It matches the Rfam family "Bacterial small subunit ribosomal RNA", at positions 152 to 774 of the family's 1533-position model. The record is from RNAcentral.